Molecule: ribosomal RNA, 700 nt
Filed under: uncultured bacterium
Lineage: Bacteria
Description: bacterial SSU rRNA
Rfam family: Bacterial small subunit ribosomal RNA
Source: RNAcentral
AGAGGCGGACGGGUGAGGAACGCUUGGGAAUCUGCCCUUCAGCGGGGGACAACCCGGGGAAACUCGGGCUAAUACCGCAUACGCUCCACGGAGGAAAGCCGGGGACCGCAAGGCCUGGCACUGAAGGAUGAGCCCAAGUCGGAUUAGCUAGUUGGCGGGGUAACGGCCCACCAAGGCGACGAUCCGUAGCUGGUCUGAGAGGACGAUCAGCCACACUGGGACUGAGACACGGCCCAGACUCCUACGGGAGGCAGCAGUGGGGAAUAUUGGACAAUGGGGGAAACCCUGAUCCAGCGACGCCGCGUGGGUGAAGAAGGCCUGCGGGUUGUAAAGCCCUUUCGGUAGGGACGAAAGCUCUCGACCUAACACGUCGGGAGGUUGACUUAACCUACAAAAGAAGCACCGGCUAACUCUGUGCCAGCAGCCGCGGUAAUACAGAGGGUGCGAGCGUUAAUCGGAAUUACUGGGCGUAAAGCGCACGUAGGCGGCUUGGUAUGUCGGGUGUGAAAUCCCCGGGCUCAACCUGGGAACUGCAUCCGAAACUGCCUUGCUCGAGUAUGGGAGAGGGAAGUGGAAUUUCCGGUGUAGCGGUGAAAUGCGUAGAUAUCGGAAGGAACAUCAGUGGCGAAGGCGACUUCCUGGACCAAUACUGACGCUCAGGUGCGAAAGCGUGAGGAGCAAACAGGAUUAGAUACCCUGG